UACGGAGGGUGCAAGCGUUAUCCGGAUUCACUGGGUUUAAAGGGUGCGUAGGUGGGUUUGUAAGUCAGUGGUGAAAUCUCUAAGCUUAACUUGGAAACUGCCAUUGAUACUAUAGAUCUUGAAUAUCCUGGAGGUGAACGGAAUAUGUCAUGUAGCGGUGAAAUGCUUAGAUAUGACAUAGAACACCAAUUGCGAAGGCAGUUCACUACGGGAUUAUUGACACUGAGGCACGAAAGCGUGGGGAGCAAACAGG
This 253-nucleotide ribosomal RNA is filed under the name uncultured bacterium. RNAcentral's name for it is "partial 16S ribosomal RNA". It matches the Rfam family "Bacterial small subunit ribosomal RNA", at positions 524 to 776 of the family's 1533-position model. The record is from RNAcentral.